Molecule: ribosomal RNA, 444 nt
Filed under: uncultured Prevotella sp.
Lineage: Bacteria; Pseudomonadati; Bacteroidota; Bacteroidia; Bacteroidales; Prevotellaceae
Description: bacterial SSU rRNA
Rfam family: Bacterial small subunit ribosomal RNA
Source: RNAcentral
UGAGGAAUAUUGGUCAAUGGGACGGGGAGUCUGAACCAGCCAAGUAGCGUGCAGGAUGACGGCUCUAUGGGUUGUAAACUGCUUUUAUAGGGGGAUAAAGUGUGCCACGUGUGGCAUAUUGCAGGUACCCUAUGAAUAAGGACCGGCUAAUUCCGUGCCAGCAGCCGCGGUAAUACGGAAGGUCCGGGCGUUAUCCGGAUUUAUUGGGUUUAAAGGGAGCGUAGGCCGUCUUAUAAGCGUGUUGUGAAAUGCCGCGGCUCAACCGUGGCACUGCAGCGCGAACUGGUUUUCUUGAGUGCGCGCGACGCAGGCGGAAUUCGUGGUGUAGCGGUGAAAUGCUUAGAUAUCACGAAGAACUCCGAUUGCGAAGGCAGCUCACUGGAGCGCAACUGACGCUGAAGCUCGAAAGUGCGGGUAUCGAACAGGAUUAGAUACCCUGGUAGU